AAGAGGGGAACAAGAAGGGGAAGGUAUCAUCGGGCGUAAAGCGCGCGCAGGCGGCUUGGUAAGUCAGAUGUGAAAUCCCUGGGCUUAACCCAGGAAGUGCAUUUGAUACUGCCUCGCUUGAGUACGGGAGAGGAAAGUGGAAUUCCUGGUGUAGAGGUGAAAUUCGUAGAUAUCAGGAGGAGCACCGGUGGCGAAGGCGACUUUCUGGCCCGAUCCUGACGCUGAGGCGCGAAAGCGAGGGGAGCGAACAG
This 251-nucleotide ribosomal RNA is filed under the name uncultured prokaryote. RNAcentral describes it as "partial 16S rRNA". It matches the Rfam family "Bacterial small subunit ribosomal RNA", at positions 547 to 775 of the family's 1533-position model. The record is from RNAcentral.